This 468-nucleotide ribosomal RNA is filed under the name uncultured bacterium. RNAcentral describes it as "partial 16S ribosomal RNA". It matches the Rfam family "Bacterial small subunit ribosomal RNA", at positions 28 to 507 of the family's 1533-position model. The record is from RNAcentral.
GAUGAACGCUGGCGGCGUGCUUAACACAUGCAAGUCGAACGGUAAGGCCCUGCUUUUGUGGUGUGCUCGUGUGGAGAACGGGUGUGUAACACGUGUAUAACCUGCCCUUGACUUUGGUAUAACUUCAGGACACUGGGGAUUAUACCGGAUAGGCGCUUCUGCCGCAUGGUGGGGGUUGGAAAGUUUCGGCGGUUGGGGAUGGACUCGCGGCUUAUCAGCUUGUUGGUGGGGUAGUGGCUUACCAAGGCUUUGACGGGUAGCCGGCCUGAGAGGGGGACCGGCCAAAAUGGGAAUUAGGGACGGGCCAGACUCCUACGGGAGGCAGCAGGGGGGAAUAAUGGACAAUGGGCGGAAGGCUGAAGGAGGAGCGCCGGGGUCGGGAAGACGGCCUUUGGGGUUGAAACCGCUUUCGCGUGGGGCGGAGGCGGAGGGACGGGAACGGGUAAAGGAAGACCGGCUAACUACGUU